Small nuclear RNA from Molossus molossus (Pallas's mastiff bat), 104 nucleotides. The record is from RefSeq and is a predicted model, not a curated record. Lineage: Eukaryota; Metazoa; Chordata; Mammalia; Chiroptera; Molossidae.
GCUGGUGCUCACUUUGGCAUAUAUUAAGACAGGACUGAUACAGAGAAGGCAGCAUGGCCCCUGUGCAAGGGUGACAGCACAUUUGUCAUAUUUCGUAUAGUUUU